This 916-nucleotide ribosomal RNA is filed under the name uncultured archaeon. RNAcentral describes it as "bacterial SSU rRNA". It matches the Rfam family "Archaeal small subunit ribosomal RNA", at positions 1 to 922 of the family's 1478-position model. The record is from RNAcentral.
UUUCCGGUUGAUCCUGCCGCCGGCCACCGCUAUCAAGUUCCGACUAAGCCAUGCGAGUCAAGGUAUCGUAAGAUGCCGGCAAACUGCUCAGUAACACGUGGAUAAUCUAACCUUGAGUAAGGGAUAACCUCGGGAAACUGAGGAUAAUACCUUAUAAUUGCUUAAAACUGGAAUGUUUAAGCAAUAAAAGUUCCGACGCUCAAGGAUGAGUCUGCGACCUAUCAGGUAGUAGGUGGUGUAAUGGACCACCUAGCCUCAGACGGGUACGGGCCCUGGGAGGGGUAGCCCGGAGAUGGACUCUGAGACAUCAGUCCAGGCCCUACGGGGCGCAGCAGGCGCGAACACUGUGCAAUGCGCGAAAGCGCGACACGGGGAGCUUGAGUGUCUUGGCAUAGCCAAGACUUUUCUCAUUCCUAAAAAGCAUGAGGAAUAAGUGCUGGGUAAGACGGGUGCCAGCCGCCGCGGUAACACCCGCAGCACAAGUGGUGGUCACUUUUAUUGAGCCUAAAGCGUUCGUAGCCGGUUUUGUAAAUCUUUAGAUAAAGCCUGAAGCUUAACUCCAGAAAGUCUGAAGAGACUGCAAGACUUGAGAUCGGGUGAGGUUAAACGUACUUUCAGGGUAGGGGUAAAAUCCUGUAAUCCUGGAAGGACAACCGGUGGCGAAGGCGUUCAACUAGAACGGAUCCGACGGUGAGGAACGAGGGCUAGGGGAGCAAACCGGAUUAGAUACCCGGGUAGUCCUAGCUGUAAACACUGCCCACUUGGUGUUGCCUCUCUGUUGAAGGGGGGCAGUGCCGGAGCGAAGGUGUUAAGUGGGCCGCUUGGGGAGUAUGGUCGCAAGGCUGAAACUUAAAGGAAUUGGCGGGGGAGCACCGCAACGGGAGGAGCGUGCGGUUUAAUUGGAUUCAACGCCGGA